UCCCGGCUGGUGUAGUGGAAGCACAGCGGUCUUUGACACCGCGAGGUCAGGUUCGAACCCUGAGCCGGGAG
This 71-nucleotide transfer RNA is filed under the name Actinokineospora xionganensis. Its description in RNAcentral is "tRNA-Gln". It matches the Rfam family "tRNA". Rfam says of the family: Transfer RNA (tRNA) molecules are approximately 80 nucleotides in length. The record is from RNAcentral. Lineage: Bacteria; Bacillati; Actinomycetota; Actinomycetes; Pseudonocardiales; Pseudonocardiaceae.